RNAcentral lists this long non-coding RNA (1183 nucleotides) under Calidris pugnax (ruff). RNAcentral describes it as "lncRNA (ENSCPUG00000000081.1)". The record is from RNAcentral. Lineage: Eukaryota; Metazoa; Chordata; Aves; Charadriiformes; Scolopacidae.
CCAAUUCCUAUGUGCACCCAGUGCACCCCCAUUCUUGCGUGCCCUGCACCCAGUGCAUCUCCAUUCCUCCAUGCCUUGCACCCAGUGCACCCCCAUUCCUGUGCCCUGCACCCAGUGCACCCCUAUUCCUAUGUCCUGCACCCAGUGCACCCCAAUUCCUGGGCACUGCAUCCAGUGUACCCCAUUACUGCACGCCCUGCACCCAGUGCACCCCCACUCCUGGGCACUGCACCCAGAGGACCCCAAUUCCUGUGCCCUGCACCCAGUGCACCCCCAUUCCUGCACCCAGUGCACCCCAGUUCCUGUGCCCCACACCCAGUGCACCCCCAUUCUUGCACACCCUGCACCCAGUGCACCCCUACUCCUGGGCACUGCACCCUAUGAACCCCUAUUCCUAUGUCCUGCACCCAGUGCACCCCCACUCCUGCGCGUGUCACACCCAGUGCACCCCCAUUCUUCCAUGCCUUGCACCCAGUGCACCCCUUUCCUGCAUGCCCUGCACCCAGUGCACCCCAUUCUUGCACGCCCUGCACCCAGUACAUCUCCAUUCCUCCAUGCCCUGCACCCAGUGCACCCCCAUUCCUGGGCACUGCACCCAGUGCACCCCCAUCCCUGCACACCCUGCACCCAGUGCACCCCCACUCCUGCGUGUGUUGCACCCUGUGGACCCCAGUUCCUGUGUCCCGCACCCAGUGCAUCUCCAUUCCUCCAUGUCCUGCACCCAGUGCACCCCCAUUCCUGUGCCCUGAGCCCAGUGCACCCCCAUUCCUGCGUGCCCUGCACCCAGUGCACCCCUAUUCCUAUGUUCUGCACCCACUGCACCCCCAUUUUUACAUGUUCUGCACCCACUGCACCCCCAUUCUUACAUGUCCUGCACCCAGUGCACCCCAGUUCCUGUGCCCUACACCCAGUGCACUCCAUUCUUGCAUGCCCUGCACCCAAUGCACCCCUAUUCCUGUGCCCUGCACCCAGUGCACCCCAUUAAUGCACGCCCUGCACCCAGUGCACCCCCAUUCCAGUGCCCUGCACCCAGUGUAACACUGGGCACCCCCAUUCCAGUGCCCUGCGCAACACCCAGUGUACCCCACUUCUGCAUGCCCUGCACCCAGUGCUCCCCCAAUCUGGUGUGCCCUAUGCCCACUCCAGCACCAUGCACCCCAUCCCUGCACGCCCUGCACCCAGU